Ictalurus punctatus (channel catfish) is the source of this 1047-nucleotide long non-coding RNA. The record is from Ensembl. Lineage: Eukaryota; Metazoa; Chordata; Actinopteri; Siluriformes; Ictaluridae.
CUAAUCGGCGGUCUGCUUAAUUGGCCUUAGUGGUUUGUAACCGUGGAGCAUCUUAGCGAAAGUAACAGUACGUAUGCUUAUUUUUCCAAAUAAACAUUUAAAAGUGGAGCUCAAGAGCGAAUUGAGAAGAAAGAGAAAGAAUUUGACAAGGCAAAGCUUCUGUAAUUAGAUAAAUUUCUUCCUGUAUCUCGUCUACAUUCAUCGGAUUUAAGUGCCAUUAUUUGUGGGAAGGAAAUGACGUCGAAUGACCAACAAAUGAGAAAGCAUGAGGGUGGUAGAUCUGCGCGUACAAAGUGCUAUGAACGAGCGCGAAGUAUUGAGAAGUGAAGAGAGCAUGGCACAAAGGAGAACACUUCAGUUGGGCACUGAGGCGUUCAUGCUUCAUCUCACCAGCAUCUACACGUUGCUCAUGAUUCAAGUGAAAAGCCAAGUAGCCCAUUAAAACUCUGAUUAUGCUGAGGCAGCUAGCAUUCAGUUACAGCUCCGAUUCCUACAAGAAUAGUCCGACAGGCUUCUGUGUCCUUGCAAAUGACUUUGUCUUUUAUUUAAUGGAUUUUUUUUUUUUUUUUUUUUUUUAAAGUUUCAUUAUCUUUGUGACCCCUAAGCUAAUUAAAUUGCCUUUGUUCUGACAGAUGGUAGAAGUGUUAAGGGACAGUUUGUAACUUCAGAGGAGUUUCUUGUCGUGCUUAGUCUUUUUAUUUAUUUAUUUUUUUUAAAAAAAGAAAUACCCCGCUUUUAUUUUGUUUUGUUGCGCGCACACUGUUUUCUCAGCUAUGUUUGAUUCCACAGACAUCUUUCAGGAUUUAUAAAGUUCCUUAAACUCUCAGUUGGAUUCCUCUCUAUUUGUAAGCAGCGGUUAGAGAAAUACACGACACCCAAACGGUUUCUUUUCUUUCCUUUCUUUCUUUCUUUCUUUCUUUCUUUCUUUCUUUCUUCUUUUAUGUCGAAUUUUUAUUUUUGUUGGGUUUCAGUGAUUUUUCUGGUAAGAAGUGAAUGCAUGUUUGCGAGUGUGACAAGUAAUAAUAUUCAGUCAUUUUCAGUGACCUG